UUUUCAUUUCAAAUAUCUAUUAUUAUCAAUAUCAUAAAAAAAAUUGAUUAUAUUCAAAUUUAAUUGACAGAAAAACUAUGAAAAUAUAGUUCCAUCACAUCAUGUGUUGUAAUUAACCGAUGAAUUAUAACAAGUAGGAACGCGUGACGCGUGAAAUAUAAUAAGGUAGGGAUAAGCAGCAAACGAGGCGUUGAGCGUUCAAAUUCAUACCAGCAGGAAGACCGAGUAAUUAGGUGACCUGACUCUCAAAUGUCGAUGUCAUUAUCCGUGCGAAUCACAAUACAAAAGAAACAGAACGAAGAUACGCUCACUCAUAUUUAUAAUUAAUUCUCGCCCUUCUUUUUUGUUUUUUUUUUCUUUUUUUUCUCUUCUCUUUUCUUUUUCCUUUUUUUUUUUCUAUGUUUGGCGCAGCGUAAAUUGAGUCGGCGAAUUAACUAGACUGUCGUGUAAUUAAAGCAAUUUGUUGGAUAAGCGGUGAUGAGAAUUACGACAAGAUGACGGAUACGAUGGUUCUCACGCUAAUCGAUUUUGUCGAUAACGAUGAAUCAGCAAAGAAAAAGAAAGAAGAUUGAAAUGUGUGAAAUGCAUGGAUUGAGAUUGAAUAUAAAAAUUAGAAAAAUUUAUUUAAAAAAAUUUUAUUUUUCUAUCAUUUUUUGUUGAAACUCUUAUUAUUCACGAAGUGUUGCACAUUAUGUUAUUUACACUGGCUAAAGUUGUUCAUGAAGUAUUCGCUUUGUAGAUGCGUAUUAUACUGCGUUUACACUGACUAGAGAUUUUUGCGAGCUGCUUACGACCUCUUUGGAACUUGUUCAUAAACAGUAAAUUAUCGUAUUCAGACUAGACUUUGCAAACAGGGUCAGCUUUAGCCAGUGCAAAUUCAGUAUUAAAUUUGUUGAGAUCGUUAUUAUAUAUAAAUAACACGAAUAACAUAGUUAAUUGGUUCCGUGUUAUAAAUCAUAUGAUACGAGGAUCUCUGGAACAAUGGUGAAUGAUAUCGAUAGGAUGGUGAUCGGGAUUAAUGGCCCAUGUCUGUUGCGAGAUUUUCAUGAUACAAUGAAAAGUACGAGCACAACUUUCGGUGGAGCAAUAUGAAAAUGAUUUCAGAUGGAACAAGAAAGGUCUCUCCUGUUCCGGCUUCGAGGGCGGGUUUAUCGUACGCGAUCCCUGAUACGACGAUAACGAGGACGAGGCCUCAAAGGCAAAACGAGGAAAACAGAGGAAGAUGCUUAAUGGGGUGGAGCAGAGGAAUGGGCUCGGAGAGGCGUGGAACAUUUUGAACAAUGAGGAUCAAGCCAUACCAUAGGGAGAGAGAGAAUCGAGUCGAAGUUACUUCGUUGGCUGAAUGACAACGCCCAUUCCACCCUUCGACCUUAAAUUUGCUUGGUUAAUAAAGCGGCGCAUUCACCUUGCGAAGAACACGCAAAUUGAGACGUCUCACCUGAAUGGGAACCGCGGGACCAAGCCUCGAUCCAUUAUCGUGUGGAAUCGAGGAAGGGCGAAGGGUGGUUCAAUUUUACACAAGUGGACUGACGGGAAUUCGAUUUCACAACGGCUCGUCUUCCGCCUUGUCGCGUCAGGACUAUGUUUAGGAAUUGUUAAAAGGGGAAGUUGGCACUUUUCCCUCUUGUCGUUGCAUUUCGAAGAUCGAGAAGAAAUUCUCGAGAAAAAUGUAUGAGUCUAUGAGGAGCUUCUUUGAAUCUUAUGUAUAUAUAUACAGGGUAGUUUACUUAAAAUAGUCUUCUUCUAGACAAAUAACCUACAAAGGUUUUUUUCUCAAGAUUAUUUUUCUAGAAAUUUGUAAAAUCAAUAUUUUGUAAAGUUGCAUAAUAAAUAUACAUAUUUUUCUCUCGUAUUAUUCUGUUUAACAUUAGAACGUAUUCAAAGAUGACAAUAACAAGAUGAUUUCGAAGUGAUCUUUGACUUGCAAAAUUAAAAUUAUAUAUGAAAUUCUUUGUUUUUUUUAAUUUCAUACAAA
This 1975-nucleotide long non-coding RNA is filed under the name Apis mellifera (honey bee). RNAcentral's name for it is "uncharacterized LOC100576302". Lineage: Eukaryota; Metazoa; Arthropoda; Insecta; Hymenoptera; Apidae. The record is from RNAcentral.